Molecule: ribosomal RNA, 1698 nt
Filed under: Escherichia coli
Lineage: Bacteria; Pseudomonadati; Pseudomonadota; Gammaproteobacteria; Enterobacterales; Enterobacteriaceae
Description: partial 23S ribosomal RNA
Rfam family: Bacterial large subunit ribosomal RNA
Source: RNAcentral
ACUAUCAUUAACUGAAUCCAUAGGUUAAUGAGGCGAACCGGGGGAACUGAAACAUCUAAGUACCCCGAGGAAAAGAAAUCAACCGAGAUUCCCCCAGUAGCGGCGAGCGAACGGGGAGCAGCCCAGAGCCUGAAUCAGUGUGUGUGUUAGUGGAAGCGUCUGGAAAGGCGCGUGAUACAGGGUGACAGCCCCGUACACAAAAAUGCACAUGCUGUGAGCUCGAUGAGUAGGGCGGGACACGUGGUAUCCUGUCUGAAUAUGGGGGGACCAUCCUCCAAGGCUAAAUACUCCUGACUGACCGAUAGUGAACCAGUACCGUGAGGGAAAGGCGAAAAGAACCCCGGCGAGGGGAGUGAAAAAGAACCUGAAACCGUGUACGUACAAGCAGUGGGAGCACGCUUAGGCGUGUGACUGCGUACCUUUUGUAUAAUGGGUCAGCGACUUAUAUUCUGUAGCAAGGUUAACCGAAUAGGGGAGCCGAAGGGAAACCGAGUCUUAACUGGGCGUUAAGUUGCAGGGUAUAGACCCGAAACCCGGUGAUCUAGCCAUGGGCAGGUUGAAGGUUGGGUAACACUAACUGGAGGACCGAACCGACUAAUGUUGAAAAAUUAGCGGAUGACUUGUGGCUGGGGGUGAAAGGCCAAUCAAACCGGGAGAUAGCUGGUUCUCCCCGAAAGCUAUUUAGGUAGCGCCUCGUGAAUUCAUCUCCGGGGGUAGAGCACUGUUUCGGCAAGGGGGUCAUCCCGACUUACCAACCCGAUGCAAACUGCGAAUACCGGAGAAUGUUAUCACGGGAGACACACGGCGGGUGCUAACGUCCGUCGUGAAGAGGGAAACAACCCAGACCGCCAGCUAAGGUCCCAAAGUCAUGGUUAAGUGGGAAACGAUGUGGGAAGGCCCAGACAGCCAGGAUGUUGGCUUAGAAGCAGCCAUCAUUUAAAGAAAGCGUAAUAGCUCACUGGUCGAGUCGGCCUGCGCGGAAGAUGUAACGGGGCUAAACCAUGCACCGAAGCUGCGGCAGCGACGCUUAUGCGUUGUUGGGUAGGGGAGCGUUCUGUAAGCCUGUGAAGGUGUACUGUGAGGUAUGCUGGAGGUAUCAGAAGUGCGAAUGCUGACAUAAGUAACGAUAAAGCGGGUGAAAAGCCCGCUCGCCGGAAGACCAAGGGUUCCUGUCCAACGUUAAUCGGGGCAGGGUGAGUCGACCCCUAAGGCGAGGCCGAAAGGCGUAGUCGAUGGGAAACAGGUUAAUAUUCCUGUACUUGGUGUUACUGCGAAGGGGGGACGGAGAAGGCUAUGUUGGCCGGGCGACGGUUGUCCCGGUUUAAGCGUGUAGGCUGGUUUUCCAGGCAAAUCCGGAAAAUCAAGGCUGAGGCGUGAUGACGAGGCACUACGGUGCUGAAGCAACAAAUGCCCUGCUUCCAGGAAAAGCCUCUAAGCAUCAGGUAACAUCAAAUCGUACCCCAAACCGACACAGGUGGUCAGGUAGAGAAUACCAAGGCGCUUGAGAGAACUCGGGUGAAGGAACUAGGCAAAAUGGUGCCGUAACUUCGGGAGAAGGCACGCUGAUAUGUAGGUGAAGUCCCUCGCGGAUGGAGCUGAAAUCAGUCGAAGAUACCAGCUGGCUGCAACUGUUUAUUAAAAACACAGCACUGUGCAAACACGAAAGUGGACGUAUACGGUGUGACGCCUGCCCGGUGC